UACGUAGGUCCCGAGCGUUGUCCGGAUUUAUUGGGCGUAAAGCGAGCGCAGGUGGUUUAUUAAGUCUGGUGUAAAAGGCAGUGGCUCAACCAUUGUAUGCAUUGGAAACUGGUAGACUUGAGUGCAGGAGAGGAGAGUGGAAUUCCAUGUGUAGCGGUGAAAUGCGUAAAUAUAUGGAGGAACCCCGGUGGCGAAAGCGGCUCUCUGGCCUGUAACUGACACUGAGGCUCGAAAGCGUGGGGAGCAAACAGG
This 252-nucleotide ribosomal RNA is filed under the name uncultured bacterium. Its description in RNAcentral is "partial 16S ribosomal RNA". It matches the Rfam family "Bacterial small subunit ribosomal RNA", at positions 524 to 776 of the family's 1533-position model. The record is from RNAcentral.